RNAcentral lists this ribosomal RNA (466 nucleotides) under uncultured bacterium. RNAcentral describes it as "partial 16S ribosomal RNA". It matches the Rfam family "Bacterial small subunit ribosomal RNA", at positions 29 to 523 of the family's 1533-position model. The record is from RNAcentral.
AACGAACGCUGGCGGUAUGCUUAACACAUGCAAGUCGAACGAACAAAAUUGGGGCUUGCUCCAAUUUUAGUGAGUGGCAAACGGGUGAGUAACACGUGGGAAUCUACCUAUCAGUACGGAAUAACAUUUGGAAACAGAUGCUAAUACCGUAUCUUCUCCAAGGAGGAAAGAUUUAUCGCUGCUAGAUGAGCCCGCGUAAGAUUAGGUAGUUGGUAGGGUAAUGGCCUACCAAGCCGACGAUCUUUAGCUGGUCUGAGAGGAUGAUCAGCCACACUGGGACUGAGACACGGCCCAGACUCCUACGGGAGGCAGCAGUGGGGAAUAUUGGACAAUGGGCGAAAGCCUGAUCCAGCAAUACCGCGUGAAUGAUGAAGGCCUUAGGGUUGUAAAGUUCUUUUAGUUGGAAAGAUAAUGACGAUACCAACAGAAAAAGCCCCGGCUAACUCCGUGCCAGCAGCCGCAGUAA